Molecule: ribosomal RNA, 630 nt
Filed under: uncultured eukaryote
Lineage: Eukaryota
Description: SSU rRNA
Rfam family: Eukaryotic small subunit ribosomal RNA
Source: RNAcentral
UUGUUGCAGUUAAAAAGCUCGUAGUUGGACUUUAGGCAAGGCGGCCUGGUCACCCUCUGGGUGUACUGGGAUCGCUGCGCCUCACCUUCGGGGAGCUAGUCGUGCUUCGGUGCGCUAGGGAACCGAGCCUUACCUUGAGGAAAUUAGAGUGUUUAGAGCAGGCUUAUGCUUGAAUACGUUAGCAUGGAAUAACAUGAUAGGACUUUGGUUCUAUUUUGUUGGUUUGAGGACCAAAGUAAUGAUUAAUAGGGACAGUUGGGGGCAUUAGUAUUCAAUAGUCAGAGGUGAAAUUCUUGGAUUUAUUGAAGACUAACUAAUGCGAAAGCAUUUGCCAAGGAUGUUUUCAUUAAUCAAGAACGAAAGUUAGGGGAUCGAAGACGAUUAGAUACCGUCGUAGUCUUAACCAUAAACUAUGCCGACUAGGGAUCGGUGGAAGUCGAUUUUGACUCCAUCGGCACCUUACGAGAAAUCAAAGUUUUUGGGUUCUGGGGGGAGUAUGGUCGCAAGGCUGAAACUUAAAGGAAUUGACGGAAGGGCACCACCAGGAGUGGAGCCUGCGGCUUAAUUUGACUCAACACGGGAAAACUCACCAGGUCCGGACAUGGGAAGGAUUGACAGAUUGAGAGCUCU